Molecule: long non-coding RNA, 743 nt
Organism: Humulus lupulus (European hop)
Lineage: Eukaryota; Viridiplantae; Streptophyta; Magnoliopsida; Rosales; Cannabaceae
Exons: 2
Source: RefSeq, a predicted model, not a curated record
UACAACACUUAUUCAAUUAUAUUAAUUUAUAAGAAAAUUUGGUGCGGGUGUACGAAGUACUCGCACAGGUGCAGUUUUUUUUAUUGGUGCAUAUUGAAAUGUGGUCCCAAGAUGGUGAUUGUUAUAAUAGGUUUGGAUGUAUUGUAUAUUUUAGCAUUUUUGUUUUUUAUUUUAUUUUUGCCUACUUUUCCAUUUCAAUUACUUGCCACUUUCGAGGAAUCCCCAAAAAUUGAUAUGAGAUUAUUUUUAUGCUGAUCAAAACUCAGCUAAUUGAAGUUGCAGAACUCCAAAAAUUGUUCAGAGAAAUAGCCUCUUUCGAUAACGCCACGAGAUGUAAUCUUUGUGAUGGCAAGAGAGAGAGACUUUUGUGUGUUUGACUAUGCGAUUGAAGAACGAAAGGGACAUGUAUUAAAGCCAUAAUCAAGAGCAAGGAUAAGAAAAAAGACUACCUUGCCAGUACCUGGCAAUUACCAAGGAGAGAGAAGUAUGAGGCAAAGUCAGAUUAUUAAUAGUCCUGGAAAGCACCGUAUAAAGCUUCCAACACUUGCAGUAAGGACAAAAGAUACUGUUUUGGUGGAGAUAGUUGAUAGGAAUGGAUUCUACUUCACAGACGAGUUCUCCUUCACAUUCCAUAUGUAUUACUUGUGAAUGGCCCAAACCGGAACUAUAAUUUCGAUGAUAGAUAAUCGAGAGUUGUAACAGAUAAUUUUCAGUUAUGAACUAAGGAUUUUCGAUUUCGAGUA